GGGUGUAAAAAUCAUUCAGGCUUCGCAUAACGCGAAUGAAAAGGGAAUCCUGUGAAAAUCAGGAACGGACCCGCCGCUGUCAUCGGGGACGAAUGCUGCAACAGGCCACUGUAGUGUUUGCUAUGGGAAGGCGCAGCGAGUAGGAUGAACCGAGAGUCAGAAGACCUGCCUGAAAUGAUGCGCUCAG
Molecule: non-coding RNA, 187 nt
Filed under: Candidatus Moduliflexus flocculans
Lineage: Bacteria; Candidatus Moduliflexota; Candidatus Moduliflexia; Candidatus Moduliflexales; Candidatus Moduliflexaceae
Source: RNAcentral